CAAGUCGCAGCCAUACAUUAUCUGGAGGGUGUUAGACCCUGGCCCCGCCCCCGCUGUCAGCCCCGCCCACCGAGCCCCGCCCCCGCCCCGACCAACCCGCGGGGAUUUUGGCCUAAACUGAAAAUGAAAUCUGGUAAAGGCGCCUGGGCCUCUCCCGGGUCGAGGAUCUGGCGGGUCCCGCAGCCUCGGGGUGGAUCUCGGAGCCGGAGACUCGCGGGGGGGACCCGGGACGUCCGUGGGGGAUGAGGAGGGGUCGUGACCUUCGCCCCAGGCCGGGGUCAUUCACCGGCCUAGCUCUGGUGGUAGUAGCGGCGCGGCAUGGGCAGGUUCACUCUUGUCAGUCUGUGCGCGGGCCUGAUGUUCCGUGUGCUCCGGUCCCAAUACUCCGGUCCAUCCUGCUCCAACCACUGCGCCUGCGGCUACAUCCUCGGAGUCGCCGCGUCGCUGUCGAACCGCACGAACUGCGUGUCGUCCACGUAGCCCACUGCGAUGUACCGGGGCUCCCCGCGACCCGGCCGGGACACGGCGGUGCUGAAAUACCUUAUGGAGUGGGUACCUGGGGGCGAGGAGGGGCUGAGACCCGUCCGACCCUCCUCCUUGAGCGGCUCCCCGGGUCCUGCGCCCCAGUGCGCGGGCCCCUAGCUCCUCCCCGCAGAGGCCAUUUCCCUCCGGAUCCCGCACUCACCCGCCCAGGUCUCGGUCAGGGCCAGGGCCCCCAAGAGCAGCAGGAGGAGGGUUCGGGACGCCAUGACCCCAUCCUCGGCGUCUGGGGAGAAUCUGAAUCCCAAUGGGUUCGCGGGGACUUCUGGAACAGGGACCCCAGCGACGCCGAUUGGCUUCGCUAGAAACCCGACACCAAAUGGGAGUGAGAACUGAGUCCACAUCCUGAGUGUCCAGGAAGAAGGACCCUACAUAAGUUGGGAGAGGGAGAAGAGAAACUGCGGAGAUGGGGAAUCCCCAACCCUGGGCCUCCCCAAUCAAUACAACGCCUUCGGGGCCUGAAACCCUGAAAGCCACGCCUGGGGCCAUAGGGCUUCGCCCUGACCCCGCUCCUCCUGUGCCAAGCGCUCAGUCUCAAUGUCUCCCUGAGUCUUGGCCCAAGAGCUGUCUGAGAAACCAGGGAGAAACCCUCGUCAUGGGCCCCGUCCCUCUUCAUUUUUCAUCCCGGAAUCCCCGUCCCAGAACUGGACUCCCUGCCUCCCACUCCUUACCUAUUUCCCUGAACUCUUCUAGAAAAAAACUCACCCCAGGGAGCUUGGUGACAGAGAGGGAGCUCGCCGCCAGAGAGGGAGCUCGCCCUGGGAAUGGAGGCGUAGAGACAGGUUUUUGUUUUUUUUUUCUUUAAAUCCGGAAAAGUUGUGCCUGAGUACAUGAGACAGCAUAGAGACAAGUUUUCUCUUUAUUAACUACAGUGGGUAGCAGAAUCUUGGCAACCCCUAAAUGAUCAGGAAUCUAAUCGGUAAAAAAUGUAACUUUGGCCCCUUGAUCUAUAAAUGUGUCUGAAAGCAUUACAACAGGACUCACAAAGCUACUAAGUUUGACUUUCCCAGACAAUGUAUCUGUGACUCCCGCUUGUUUUUUACAUUUACCUUCAUUCCACAGCCCUGAGUUACUGGGUGAGUCCAAGACAUCUCCUCAAUAUAAAGUAGCACACUGCGUUACUAUAUGUUGCAACCGGGAGCCAGUACAGACUUUAUUCACCUCACAGUUGCAAGUGUUCAAUGCAGUCACAAUGCCCCUCAGCAGUGCUCAUGUGCUGCCUGUUUUUAGGAAGUAUUCACGUCUAAGUGGUGUGUAUAUCUUAUAGGAAUACUUAGUAUUUUUAAAACCUGAUUAAUUAAAAAAAAUUAGUUUCUAGGCAGUCCCAAAUAUAGUAUUAAAGGCCAACUGCAAAGAAGGAACACUAAGUAUUUUUUAAACCUUAUUAACAUAAAAAAACAUUAGUUUUUAGGCAGUCCUACAUUAGGUAUUAAAGGCCAACUGCAAAGAACACUGAGCGAGGCUCUGUAGAUGGAUGUAAUAAAAAUCUAUAAAACAAUGUGUUUAAACCUAAGAAUUCUACUGCUUUCCAAUUCCUUCCCUCUGCUCCUUUUCCUAACCUCCUGCUUCUCCAGCCCUUCCCUCUGUCCCUUUCACCCCUCAGGCCCUCCUCUCCCCUUAGUCCCCACCACCCUGUCACUUCUAAAUUGUGGCUCUAGCAUUGUCCCAUUACCUGCUAUGUGACUGUUCUCUCCACAGUGGUCCUGCUCCUGUGAGUCAGAGUGUGUCAUUUCCUCACCUAAAACACUCCAGUGGCUCCACCUCGGUCUUGUGAAGCUUCUAGAAUGUCAGGCACGUGAGCAUAUGAGGGCAUACCUGGUUCAUCUUAGGCACUAAAUUAAUUUUUGUUGACUGAAUGAAUGAAAUAUGAAUGUAUUAAAUUGCAUCACAGAAAGUUAUAAAAUGUAAAACACUGAAAAAUUAAGAAAUAUUUUAUCUUAUGUAACUAGUGUGCAUAUCAAUUCAUCCGAGUCUGUUGAGCCUGUGUAUGAAUUUUAUAAGAUUGCAUAACAAAUUAUCACAAACAUUGACUUUAAACAACACCC
Long non-coding RNA from Homo sapiens (human), 2585 nucleotides. RefSeq annotates it as HLA complex group 4B. Lineage: Eukaryota; Metazoa; Chordata; Mammalia; Primates; Hominidae. The record is from RefSeq and is marked validated.